RNAcentral lists this transfer RNA (91 nucleotides) under Phycisphaerae bacterium SM23_33. RNAcentral's name for it is "tRNA-Ser". It matches the Rfam family "tRNA". From Rfam's summary of the family: Transfer RNA (tRNA) molecules are approximately 80 nucleotides in length. Lineage: Bacteria; Pseudomonadati; Planctomycetota; Phycisphaerae. The record is from RNAcentral. RNAcentral also lists the same sequence under 1 other name.
GGAGAGGUGGCCGAGUGGAUGAAGGCGACGGUUUGCUAAACCGUUGUACGGGGUCAAACCUGUACCCCGGGUUCGAAUCCCGGCCUCUCCG